RNAcentral lists this ribosomal RNA (491 nucleotides) under uncultured bacterium. Its description in RNAcentral is "partial 16S ribosomal RNA". It matches the Rfam family "Bacterial small subunit ribosomal RNA", at positions 28 to 507 of the family's 1533-position model. The record is from RNAcentral.
GAUGAACGCUAGCGAUAGGCUUAACACAUGCAAGUCGAGGGGUAACGUGUUGGAAGCUUGCUUCCGAUGACGACGACCGGCGGAUGGGUGCGUAACGCGUAUGCAACUUGCCUCACAGUGGAGAAUAACCCGGAGAAAUCCGGACUAAUACUCCAUACACUCUUAAGUACGCCUGUACAUGAGAGGAAAGAUUUAUCGCUGUGAGAUAGGCAUGCGUCCUAUUAGGUAGUUGGUGAGGUAACGGCUCACCAAGCCGACGAUAGGUAGGGGUGCUGAGAGGCAGAUCCCCCACAUUGGGACUGAGACACGGCCCAAACUCCGACGGGAGGCAGCAGUGAGGAAUAUUGGUCAAUGGAGGAAACUCUGAACCAGCCAAGUCGCGUGAAGGAAGAAUGUCCUAAGGAUUGUAAACUUCUUUAGCGAGCGAGUAAGGACUUCCACGUGAUGGGAGUUUGAAAGUAGCUCGAGAAUAAGUAUCGGCUAACUCCGUG